RNAcentral lists this transfer RNA (61 nucleotides) under Xanthostigma gobicola. RNAcentral describes it as "tRNA-Thr". The record is from RNAcentral. Lineage: Eukaryota; Metazoa; Arthropoda; Insecta; Raphidioptera; Raphidiidae.
GUUUUUAUAGUUUAAUAAAAAUAUUGAUUUUGUAAAUCAAAGAUAUAAAAAUUUAAAAACU